This is a long non-coding RNA of Pogoniulus pusillus (Red-fronted tinkerbird), 1131 nucleotides long. RefSeq lists it as uncharacterized. The record is from RefSeq and is a predicted model, not a curated record. Lineage: Eukaryota; Metazoa; Chordata; Aves; Piciformes; Lybiidae. The transcript has 6 exons.
UCAGGCUCUGCUCGGUGCUUCAGACGUGCUUUCGUCUAAGUCUGAGAAGGAUCUAUGAUUCGAGCAACUUGUCUUGGGACACCAGCAGGGAAGAGAGGAGGUUACCAAACAGCUUGAAGAAGCAGGGAUCUUGUCAAAGACCAAGCCUUUAGUGCUCUCUGCAGGAUUUCCCCUGAUUGCUGUAAAGGACUCGGGCAGAUUUCAGGACGUUUCUGUUAAUGAUGUCAUGGCAAGAUGCUGAACACUGACAUCUCCCAAGCAGAGGAGGUCAUUAGUACUGCACGGCGCCUCAGAGGUGUGGACCCUCUUGUACAGGCAGUUUUCCUUCACCCUGCUGAGGCAGUUCAGUCUCUUCCCUUCAGGCUCCACUUCUGAAACACAGCAGUGCCCAUAUCUGGGUCACAACACUCCCACUAGGGAUGAUUUCUUCAAGCCAGCUGAACCAAAGAAAGAAACCAACCCAAACAACCACCAUGACGGCACCCUCCCCCACUCCUGGCAAAGCCUUUCCUGCCCCCAAGGCAAUACCACUGAUGGGAUGAAGCCUACCCAGCUUUUUCCCCUGUUGAAGGCCAGCAUUUCCCCCAAGGAAUACACCAGAGAGGAAUCUGAAUCGCUAUUGAUGUCACGAGCGUUCCUGACCACAGCAAAUAGCCAUCAGUAGCCUUGGCCUUGUACAGCUGGCCCCAUCUGAACUGUGAUUACCUCUCCAAACUUCAGCAAGAUUAUAUUGGCAGCCAGCAUGAAGUAUGAGCCCAGAAGAGCAAUCAUUUAUCCACGAAGAUCACCCUCACGUGCUGCGUUACUGGAGUCUGCCUUGGAGGUGACAUCAGUUAAGAUGUUAAAAUGGCUAAUGCAUCAGUAAAGCAAAAUGGGAUCAAAAUGAAGGACGCCAGACGUGGGAGGCGAGCCCUUUAAAUUCCCAGCUAUAAAUGCCAGGUUUGUGAAUGAGCCUCUGCUGCCAGGUACUUUGCAGGAAAAGCCUUGCUAAUAAUUGGAGAAAAUGGCAUGGCACAAAACUCUCCCAAGUGCUUGGCCCGGGGGCUGUGUGUCCAUUAGAGGGAAUCAGAAAGUCAAAACAGACACUGUAAUUUCUCUGUACUUGCAUUAACCAUAUCCCCAACACUCGCA